RNAcentral lists this ribosomal RNA (490 nucleotides) under uncultured bacterium. RNAcentral describes it as "partial 16S ribosomal RNA". It matches the Rfam family "Bacterial small subunit ribosomal RNA", at positions 29 to 507 of the family's 1533-position model. The record is from RNAcentral.
AGUGAACGCUGGCGGUAGGCCUAACACAUGCAAGUCGAACGGCAGCACAGGAGAGCUUGCUCUCUAGGUGGCGAGUGGCGGACGGGUGAGGAAUACAUCUGAAUCUGCCCAGUCGUGGGGGAUAACGUAGGGAAACUUACGCUAAUACCGCAUACAACCUUCGGGUGAAAGAGGGGGAUCGCAAGACCUCUCGCGAUUGGAUGAGCCGAUGUCGGAUUAGCUAGUUAGCGGGGUAAUGGCCCACCAAGGCGACGAUCCGUAGCUGGUCUGAGAGGAUGAUCAGCCACACUGGAACUGAGACACGGUCCAGACUCCUACGGGAGGCAGCAGUGGGGAAUAUUGGACAAUGGGCGCAAGCCUGAUCCAGCCAUACCGCGUGGGUGAAGAAGGCCUUCGGGUUGUAAAGCCCUUUUGUUGGGAAAGAAAUCUUUCAGGCUAAUACCCUGGGAGGAUGACGGUACCCAAAGAAUAAGCACCGGCUAACUUCGUG